CGGCAUCGCAGUUUGUUUCGUGAGUGAAAACACUCACUUCGUCGUCGGCAUGGCCCAAUGGCACACACAACCCAAACGUUUGAAGAAAGAAGAUGUUCGACCGGAAAACGGAUUGACGGGGAUCACCCGCCCAGAUGCUUCUUUGCUUGGAUCAGAAAUGUUGAAGCUUGAAGCAGCGUGAACUGUUGAAGACAUCCAUAAGCAACAUGCUCGAGGACCUCUUCAAAGACUGCAUUGGUGAGGUUUUGCACACACGCACACACGCACACGAUGUUGGAUGAGAAGCCCUCGCUCUCUAGUUGCCGCUGAAAUUCAUCCCAACGGUGUUGAGGUCUGGACUCUGUGCAGGCAAGUCAAGUUCAUCUGAAUCACAC
Long non-coding RNA from Hippocampus comes (tiger tail seahorse), 374 nucleotides. RefSeq lists it as uncharacterized. The record is from RefSeq and is a predicted model, not a curated record. The transcript has 3 exons. Lineage: Eukaryota; Metazoa; Chordata; Actinopteri; Syngnathiformes; Syngnathidae.